This 466-nucleotide ribosomal RNA is filed under the name uncultured bacterium. RNAcentral describes it as "partial 16S ribosomal RNA". It matches the Rfam family "Bacterial small subunit ribosomal RNA", at positions 28 to 505 of the family's 1533-position model. The record is from RNAcentral.
GACGAACGCUGGCGGCGUGCUUAACACAUGCAAGUCGAACGGAAAGGCCCUGCUUUUGUGGGGUGCUCGAGUGGCGAACGGGUGAGUAACACGUGAGUAACCUGCCCUUGACUUUGGGAUAACUUCAGGAAACUGGGGCUAAUACCGGAUAGGAGCUCCUGCUGCAUGGUGGGGGUUGGAAAGUUUCGGCGGUUGGGGAUGGACUCGCGGCUUAUCAGCUUGUUGGUGGGGUAGUGGCUUACCAAGGCUUUGACGGGUAGCCGGCCUGAGAGGGUGACCGGCCACAUUGGGACUGAGAUACGGCCCAGACUCCUACGGGAGGCAGCAGUGGGGAAUAUUGCACAAUGGGCGGAAGCCUGAUGCAGCACCGCCGCGUGCGGGAUGACGGCCUUCGGGUUGUAAACCGCUUUCGCCUGUGACGAAGCGUGAGUGACGGUAAUGGGUAAAGAAGCACCGGCUAACUCCG